RNAcentral lists this long non-coding RNA (655 nucleotides) under Hordeum vulgare. RNAcentral describes it as "long non-coding RNA (HVUL_LNC011400)". The record is from RNAcentral. Lineage: Eukaryota; Viridiplantae; Streptophyta; Magnoliopsida; Poales; Poaceae.
AAAAAUCAUGCAUUUUGAAAAAAAGUUUCUUUGAUUUUUUAGAAAAGAGCACGCAUUUAACCAAAAGAACAAAAGAAAAAAGGCGAACAAAACCAUUACAGAAAAUGGUUUGGGAAGCUUCCAAUACCGAGGACUUUGCAAGUUGGAGAAAGAAUAAAUAAAGGCAAAUGAAGUGUGUACGUACGGGUUGUUCGAUGGCAUAGUGGUUGAUGCAGUACUAUGGUGAAGUGCGAGUUACACUUCAGCUAUUCUAAAUGUGAAUAGAUUCCGAUCAAGCAAGCAGGAGAAGGUGGUCCUUUCAUCCAUGCUCUAUAGCCUAAGGAUCAUGAGCAGGUUUAAUGCUAGAAAAAACGAGAUCUGCCUAAUCAUUUUCGGCUCCCCGCACGCACCUUUUUGCUGUUUCUAACAAAAAGAAAAAAACAAAUGGAUUGGCCCGCUACGAGCCUCUACGAGCGCCAACUUCUCUAAUCAGCGCUAACAGUACUGACUAGGAGCUCCCAACGGUCGACAUGCUUCCGCAGAGAGUGGUACAUAGGAGCUUGCGGAUCAACCCAUGUUAUGUAGCUCUUUGUCCAGGAUUGGAAGAAUAUCCGACAAUCGAAAAUGCCCAGUACUCUGGGUCCGACGAUCAAAAUUGCUAGUAGUCCGAGAGGGC